Molecule: ribosomal RNA, 363 nt
Filed under: uncultured bacterium
Lineage: Bacteria
Description: bacterial SSU rRNA
Rfam family: Bacterial small subunit ribosomal RNA
Source: RNAcentral
AGAGUUUGAUCCUGGCUCAGAACGAACGCUGGCGGCAUGCCUAACACAUGCAAGUCGAACGAGACCUUCGGGUCUAGUGGCGCACGGGUGCAUAACGCGUGGGAAUCUGCCCUUGGGUUCGGAAUAACAGCUAGAAAUGGCUGCUAAUACCGAAUAAUGACGUAAGUCCAAAGAUUUAUCGCCCAAGGAUGAGCCCGCGUAGGAUUAGCUAGUUGGUGAGGUAAAAGCUCACCAAGGCGACGAUCCUUAGCUGGUCUGAGAGGAUGAUCAGCCACACUGGGACUGAGACACGGCCCAGACUCCUACGGGAGGCAGCAGUGGGGAAUAUUGGACAAUGGGCGAAAGCCUGAUCCAGCAAUGCCG